Long non-coding RNA from Maniola jurtina (meadow brown), 760 nucleotides. RefSeq lists it as uncharacterized. Lineage: Eukaryota; Metazoa; Arthropoda; Insecta; Lepidoptera; Nymphalidae. The record is from RefSeq and is a predicted model, not a curated record. The transcript is spliced from 2 exons.
GCCACCUCGAUACAGCAGCGUCGAGACUAUAAUUGAAACCACACCUUUCUGGAAUCAAUUCAUUACACAAGACGGAGCUUAUAACACUUGCGGACCAUGUGACAAAUUGAAUGUAACGCACAACUCACAAAAUUACGCUUAUCUGACCUCAGCCUUAUUGUUUUACUCAAAAUGUAGUGUUUAAAGCCAAGCCAGUACAUUAUGAAAGUAUAACUACCUACUUGUAUAUAUAAUAGGUAUUUUUUGUUCAGAUUAUUGGUCUAUGGAACUAUUUUUUUACGGAUUCCUUGUUAUAAAGUUUGAAGGAAGAUAAGAAAGUAGUUGUCAGUCUGUUUGGUUGUUACAUAUUAAACAGAGAGGUAUUUGAAAAAAGUAGUCUUGAAUUACAGAUAUUCUUGGACAUAUCUUUGGUAAUAUUUUAAAUAAGUAGCUAUAACAAUCUGUUCGCCUAUUAGAAGGCCAUUUGUGCAGAUCAAACCUAGUGUUAAAAUUAAAAUAUAAGCAAAUAAGUACCUAAAUUUCUUUAUUUCCAACUAGGAACUUUUGUAAUUAUUAUGUUUAAUUUUUUUAUUAUAAAAAACACAAUAUUAUUAUACCCACCAAAUAAAAUAUUAUACUUAGGGCCGAUUUUCCAAUCGUCGAAUAACUAUUAUCUGGGGAAUAAAGAGUUUGACAGUUUGAAAUUAAAAAAGCUAUCAAUUUAGAUGCCAGCUGCAAGCCUGUUGUUUAAAUUUGUGAUGUGCACUAAAAUUUAGAGUCU